This 543-nucleotide unclassified non-coding RNA is filed under the name Bombus terrestris (buff-tailed bumblebee). RNAcentral's name for it is "misc RNA ENSBTSG00005038745.1". The record is from RNAcentral. Lineage: Eukaryota; Metazoa; Arthropoda; Insecta; Hymenoptera; Apidae.
UGUAACCGUGUUUGUUCUAAAGUUCCAGUCUAAAGUUUAUGCUUACGGAUCAGAAUAUUUUCGAUUGGUUGAAUACGUUCUUCCCUCCUUUCUCUUUCUUUUUUUCUUUUUUUUUUUUUUGCGAACACUUUUGUAACCAAAUUUUGUCCUAAAAAUGAGGUUUCUUCCGCAAGAAUUUUCAUAAAGAUGCAUAUUUCUGAAAAUCCUAUGUACGUGCUUCCGUAGCUUUUAUCACGUAGAGAAUGGAAAUUUUUGGUUCUUUUCUAAGUCACGCCAGUUCUGAAAAAUUGAUGGAGGCAAAUACUACUUGUUCAUUGAUUUUCAGUGGUCGUUCAGUUUUAGUUAAGCUAAGUAGUGCAAUUUAAUUGGAUGAUUAUGAUGCUCCUAUUGUGGGAGAUUAAUAGACAAAUACCAUUUGUUCGUUGAUUUGCAGUGGUCGUUCACUUUUACUUAAGUUAAGUAGCGUAAUUUCGUCGGACGAUUAUGAUACUCCUAUGCUAGUAAAUUACUAGGAAAAAACUAUUUGUUCAUUGAUUUUUGAUG